RNAcentral lists this ribosomal RNA (328 nucleotides) under uncultured eukaryote. RNAcentral describes it as "partial 18S ribosomal RNA". It matches the Rfam family "Eukaryotic small subunit ribosomal RNA", at positions 1470 to 1796 of the family's 1831-position model. The record is from RNAcentral.
CCCUUAGAUGUCCUGGGCCGCACGCGCGUUACACUGAUGCAUUCAACGAGCUUAUAACCUUGGCCGAGAGGCCUGGGCAAUCUUGUUAACGUGCAUCGUGAUAGGGAUAGAUUAUUGAAAUUAUUCAUCUUGAACGAGGAAUUCCUAGUAAACGCAGAUCAUCAAUCUGCAUUGAUUACGUCCCUGCCCUUUGUACACACCGCCCGUCGCACCUACCGAUUGGAUGGUCCGGUGAAGCCUCGGGAUUGUGGUUCUUGCCGCUUUAUUGUGGCGUGACCGCGAGAACUUGUCUAAACCUUAUCAUCUAGAGGAAGGUGAAGUCGUAACA